CUCAACAAAGCUUUGCUUAAAUUGCAUAGACUUCUAUUGUGGAACUUAAGAAUUAAACGAUGCUCAUAAUAGCUUUAAUAAAUUGCGAAGACUACAUUUAUUAUGGAACUCUAAAAUUAAACAAUACUCAUCAAAGAUUUGCAAAAUUGCGUAGACUUCUAAUGUGGAACUCAAGAAUGAAAGAAUGCUCAUCAAAGGUUUGCUUAAAUUGCAUAGACUUUUAUUAUGGAACUCAAUAUAUAAACAAUACUCAUGAAAGCUUUGCUAAAUAGCGCAGACUACUUGUAAUGUGGAACUCAAGAAUUAAACAAUGCUCAUCAAAACCUUUGUAAAUUGCAUAGACUUCUAUUGUGGAACUCAAGAAUUAAACAAUGCUGACUAAAGCUUUGCUAAAUUGUGAAGACUACUUCUACUAUGGAGCUCAAGAAUUAACCAAUACACAUCAAAACUUUAAGUCUAAGUUGCAUAGACUUCUAAUGUCUAAAGAAUGAAACAACGUUCGUCAAAGCUUUGCUUAAAUUGCAUAGACUUCUAUUGUGGAACUCAAGAAUUUAACAAUGCUCAUCAAAUCUUAGCUAAAUUGUAAAGUCUACAUCUAUUGUGGAACGCAAGAAUUAAACAAUGCAAAUCAAAGCUUUGCUAAAUUGCAUAGACAUCUAAUGUGGAACUCAAGAAAGAAACAAUGCUCAACAACAGUUUCCUUAAAUUGCAUAGACUUCUAUUGUGGAACUUAAGAAUUAAACAUUGCUCAUCAAAGCUAUGCUAAAUUGCACAGACAACUUUUAUUGUGGAACUCAAGAAUUAAACAAUGCUCAUCAAUACUUUUAAAAAUUUCAUAGACUUCUAAUGUGGAACUCAAGAAUGAAACAAUGCUCAUCAAAGCUUUGCUUAAAUUGCUUAGACUUUUAUUAUGGUACUAAAGAAUUAAACAAUCCUCAUCAAACCAUUGCUAAAUUGGGAAGAUUACUUCUAUUGUGGAACUCUAGAAUUAAACAAUGCUCAUCAAAGCUUUGGUAAAUUGCAUAGACUUCUAAUGUGGAACUCAAGUAUCAAACAUUGCUCAUCAAAGCUUUGAUUAAAUUACAUAUACGAUUGUGGAACUCAAGAAUUAAACAAUGCUCAUCAAAGCUUUGCUAAAUUCCAAAGACUAUUUAUAUUAUGGAACUCAAGAAUUAAACAAUGCUCAUCAGUGCUUUGCAAAAUUGCAUAGACUUGCAACGUAGAGCCCAAGAAUGAAACAAUGCUCAACAAAGCUUUGCUUAAAUUGCAUAGACUUCUAUUGUAGAACUUAAGAAUUAAACGAUGCUCAUAAUAGCUUUAAUAAAUUGCGAAGACUACAUCUAUUAUGGAACUCUAAAAUUAAACAAUACUCAUCAAAGAUUUCCAAAAUUGCAUAGACUUCUAAUGUCGAACUCAAGAAUGAAAGAAUGCUCAUCAAAGGUUUGCUUAAAUUGCAUAGACUUUUAUUGUGGAACUCAAUAUAUAAACAAUACUCAUGAAAGCUUUGCUAAAUAGCGCAGACUACUUGUAAUGUGGAACUCAAGAAUUAAACAAUGCUCAUCAAAACCUUUGUAAAUUGCAUAGACUUCUAUUGUGGAACUCAAGAAUUAAACAAUGCUCAUAAAAGCUUUGCUAAACUUAAAACACCACAUCAAUUGUGGAACUCAAGAAUUAAACAAUGCUGAUUAAAGCUUUGCUAAAUUGCGAAGACUACUUCUACUAUGGAACUCAAGAAUUAACCAAUACACAUCAAAGCUUUGCUAAGUUGCAUAGAUUUCUAAUGUGGAACUAAAGAAUGAAACAAUGUUCGUCAAAGCUUUGCUUAAAUUGCAUAGACUUCUAUUGUGGAACUCAAGAAUUUAACAAUGCUCAUCAAAUCUUAGCUAAAUUGCAAAGUCUGCAUCUAUUGUGGAACUCAAGAAUUAAACAAUGCAAAUCAAAGCUUUGCUAAAUUGCAUAGACAUCUAAUGUGGAACUCAAGAAUGAAACAAUGCUCAACAAAGCUUUCCUUAAAUUGCAUAGACUUCUAUUGUGGAACUUAAGAAUUAAACAUUGCUCAUCAAAGCUUUGCUAAAUUGCGAAGACAACUUUUAUUGUGGAACUCAAGAAUUAAACAAUGCUCAUCAAUACUUUGAAAAUUUUCAUAGACUUCUAACGUGGAACUCAAGAAUGAAACAAUGCUUAUCAAAGCUUUGCUUAAAUUUCUUAGACUUCUAUUGUGGUACUAAAGAAUUAAACAAUCCUCAUCAAACCAUUGCUAAAUCGGGAAGAUAACUUCUAUUGUGGAACUCUAGAAUUAAACAAUGCUCAUUAAAGCUUUGCUAAAGUGCAUAGACUUCUAAUGUGGAACUCAAGUAUCAAACAAUUCUCAUCAAAGCUUUGCUUAAAUUGCAUAUACGAUUGUGGAACUCAAGAAUUAAACAAUGCUCAUCAAAGCUUUGCUAAAUUGCAAAGACUAUUUAUAUUAUGGAACUCAAGAAUUAAACAAUGAUCAUCCGUGCUUUGCAAAAUUGCAUAGACUUGCAACAUAGAGCCCAAGAAUGAAACAAUGCUCAACAAAGCUUUGCUUAAAUUGCAUAGACUUCUAUUGUGGAACUUAAGAAUUAAACGAUGCUCAUAAUAGCUUUAAUAAAUUGCGAAGACUACAUCUAUUAUGGAACUCUAAAAUUAAACAAUACUCAUCAAAGAUUUGCAAAAUUCCGUAGACUUCUAAUGUGGAACUCAAGAAUGAAAGAAUGCUCAUCAAAGGAUUGCUUAAAUUGCAUAGACUUUUAUUGUGGAACUCAAUAUAUAAACAAUACUCAUGAAAGCUUUGCUAAAUAGCGCAGACUACUUGUAAUGUGGAACUCAAGAAUUAAACAAUGCUCAUCAAAACCUUUGUAAAUUGCAUAGACUUCUAUUGUGGAACUCAAGAAUUAAACAAUGCUCAUAAAAGCUUUGCUAAACUUAAAACACCACAUCAAUUGUGGAACUCAAGAAUUAAACAAUGCUGAUUAAAGCUUUGCUGAAUUGCGAAGACUACUUCUACUAUGGAACUCAAGAAUCAACCAAUACACAUCAAAGCUUUGCUAAAUCGCAUAGACUUCUAAUGCGGAACUAAAGAAUGAAA
RNAcentral lists this long non-coding RNA (3109 nucleotides) under Lactuca sativa (garden lettuce). Its description in RNAcentral is "long non-coding RNA (LSAT_LNC010104)". The record is from RNAcentral. Lineage: Eukaryota; Viridiplantae; Streptophyta; Magnoliopsida; Asterales; Asteraceae.